AUGACGAUUGAAGAUCAAUUUUCAAGCUGACCUGUAAGGACUAAAUUAAAGUUUAUUUGACGCGUCUCGACAACAGAACUCUAGUCUUCACUUGGACAGCUUCAGAAUGUGUUUAAGCUCUUUGAUUUUUCUCGUAUUCGCAAGCCGUAGUCCGUAGACUUCAAUGCCUACGAUAAGGCCAGGGUAGCGAUAAGGCCGUUUUCGAGGUGCGUGCAUUUGGAAAGGCUCGUGCUCUGUCCAUCGCUGAAAAAUAAUAAAAUCUACACAUUUCAAUUUAUGAUUGGAAAGCACUUAAUGUUUCGAGUUAUUUUGUAAGGUCUUUAAAAUAUUCCGGGUUUUACGUUACCUUUAAUUACGGCCAAUGGAGUGCACCGACCAUUUCCGAGUGUUGUGAAAGCUGUUGGAAAUAGUGUGCUGCUGAUGGCCGAUUUAAAAUGCUAUUUGGUCGCGGUUGUUGAAGAAGACGGUGAGAUUAAAAAGACUGAAGAAAUACUAUAUCGCUGAACAUGCCCACCAACAGCCAGGCAAAUACCGCUUCGGCACCAGAGGGCAGCGGAACACCGGCUGUCAAUGGAGCACCAUCGGGCAGCGGAGCACCAUCGGGCAACGGAGCACCGGCCGCCGGUGACGCGCCGGCCGUCCCCAAACCUGGCUGCUGCGGUGACCACGGGCCAACCGCAUGCAUCGGGGGACUAUGGACCUCCCGUGAAAUGACUGACAUGGAGGACCGUGAAAUUGUUGUUCGCACCAACCUGCGCGAGCUGAUCGUCUACCUAGUGUUCCUGGCGGUCGUCAGCAUCCUGGCUGUGAGCACAACUUCACCUACCAUGUUCUACUUCACAAAAGCUCUGUCCGAGCUCUUUUUGGACGCCUCUUUUGCCGACUCCGAUGGGAAUUUCAAGGAAUCGACUCAAAUACUGGAUUUUUGGAGAUUUGUGGAGGGUCCCCUGGUGGAUGGCCUCUACUGGGAGACGUGGUAUGACCUGGAGCAGACCAAGCUGGACGACAGCGAGGGUGGCAUCGACAUCCUCUACGAGAACCGGCUGCUCGGAGUACCCAGAAUGCGGCAGCUGCAGGUACGCAGCGACUCGUGUCGCGUGGCCGACGACAUGCGCGCCAUCAUCAAGGAGUGCUACGCCGAGUACAGCUGGCUGACCGAGGUCAACUACAACGACUCUAUCGGCACCGGCAACGGCACCGGCUGGCGCUACUGUCCGGAGGACGAGUUGGAGGGACACCCGUUCUGGGGUGAGAUCAGCACCUAUUCGGGAGGCGGCGCAUACGUGGAUUUGUCACACAAACGAAACGAGACUGUGGAUAUGCUGGCCCGCCUCCGCCGCGACCUAUGGAUCGGCCGAGGGACCCGUGCCAUCUUCAUCGACUUCACAGUCUACAACGCAAACAUCAACCUCUUCUGCAUCAUCAAACUGGUGUUCGAGCUGCCCGCCACGGGCGGCAUGAUUCCGUCGUCGUCCUUCCGCACGGUCAAGCUGCUCCGCUACGUUAACCCGUACGACUACUUCGUGAUGGCGUGCGAGUGGGUGUUCAUCCUGUUCACCGUCUACUACAUCAUAGAGGAGAUGUUGGAGUUUCAUGGACAAAAGACGAAAUAUUUCAAGCAUUUCUGGAACCACCUCGACAUGCUAAUGAUUUUGAUUUCCAUUCUUUGUAUCGGCUUCUCUAUCCAUUGCACGAAGGCCGUCAGCGAUAAAAUCGAACUUCUACUGAAAGAUGAUUUGCAGUAUCCCAACUUUGAGCAGCUGGGCUUCUUCCAAACGCAGUUCACCAGCGCCGCGGCACUCUGCGUGUUCUUCGCCUGGGUGAAGCUGUUCAAAUACAUUAGCUUCAACAAGACCAUGAACCAGCUGAGCAGCACUCUGUCCAGGUGCGCACGAGAUAUCAUGGGCUUCGCGAUUAUGUUCUUUAUCGUCUUCUUCGCCUUCGCUCAGCUCGGGUAUCUUCUCUUCGGUACUCAGGUUCGCGACUUCAGCACAUUCACCCGAGCCACGUUCACUCUGCUGCGAACUAUCCUCGGAGAUUUCGACUUUCACGAGAUAGAAGCGGCCAACCGGAUCCUGGGACCGAUCUUCUUCCUCAGCUACGUGUUCUUCGUCUUCUUUGUGCUGAUGAACAUGUUCCUCGCAAUCAUAAACGACACAUACAGUGAGGUAAAGAGCGAUCCGUCAGCGCACAAAAACGAGUUCGAAGUGGCCGACUACUUCAAACGGGGAUACAACAAUGUAAAAGGGAAACUGGGCAAGCGUGACCGUCUGAUUGACCUGGAGACGGCGCUGAAGCUGAUCGAACAGGAGGAGGACGGCAGCUAUUCGCUGGACAUGGUGUGGCACACCAUGAAAAGGUGCAACUUUUCGGACCAGGAGAUAGACCUGUUCUUCGACCAGUACCACCUGGGCGGUGACGGUGCUCCCGUGCCCAAGCCGCCAGAGGCUGACGACGAGGAGGAAAAACCACAGAUUGACGUGGUGCGUCUGCACCGGAUCGUGUUCGGUAACCUGUCGCGGGAGGCGGCCGCCGCCAAGCUGCGCGGCUCGCCCGUCGCCGCCGCCCGGCACCGCGACUCCGAGGCCGGCGGCGACACAGAGAUCGAGGACGCCGAGUACGGCGACUACGACGACUAUGAUGACUAUGACGACUACGACGACUACUACGACCAGCCCGGCGUCAGCCCCGAGGAGUUCACCGAGGUGACUGAGCGGCUGGAUCGACUCGAGAAGAGCCUCACCACCAUCACCUCCAAGAUCGACUCGCUGCUGAAGACUGCGGGCGGAGGCGGAGCGUCGCCCUCCCCCUCCCCAGCACGGCCGCAGUGAUCAGGCACCGCUGAGGCGGCAGGCUCUCACGGAAGUCAAAGUGUAAUCGGCUGCGCAUAUUCGCGAGAUGUUUGAUGUCACAACGCAUCACGAUCACCAUGCUUCUGAUGCAAAUGAACCCAGGAUUGUGUUUUAAUUAGCACAGUUUUAAGUGAGCCGUUAGCCACCUAAUAGCUGGCGUAUUAACCGUUAACGUGGAUGUUAACGUUUUGCUAUGAUUCAUCGUUGUUCUGAAGAAUGCCUACCGAUUGUAUCCAUAUGACGAUAUCAAAUGGUAAAAGUGUUCUGCGGCCGCAUGUUAUUUCGGUUGAAUAAACACAUCAGCCCUUUU
RNAcentral lists this unclassified non-coding RNA (3162 nucleotides) under Amphibalanus amphitrite. RNAcentral describes it as "polycystic kidney disease 2-like 2 protein, transcript variant X2". The record is from RNAcentral. Lineage: Eukaryota; Metazoa; Arthropoda; Thecostraca; Balanomorpha; Balanidae.